Molecule: ribosomal RNA, 788 nt
Filed under: uncultured bacterium
Lineage: Bacteria
Description: bacterial SSU rRNA
Rfam family: Bacterial small subunit ribosomal RNA
Source: RNAcentral
AGGAAGCAGCUGCUUGCAGUUGUGGACUAGUGGCGGACGGGUGAGUAACGCGUGGGAAUCUACCAUAUAGUGGGGGACAGCCCGGAGAAAUCCGGAUUAAUACCGCAUACCUUCUACGGAAGAAAGGCUUCGGCCGCUAUUUGAUGAGCCCGCGUAAGAUUAGCUAGUUGGUGAGGUAAGAGCUCACCAAGGCAACGAUCUUUAGCUGGUCUGAGAGGAUGAUCAGCAACACUGGGACUGAGACACGGCCCAGACUCCUACGGGAGGCAGCAGUGGGGAAUCUUGGACAAUGGGCGCAAGCCUGAUCCAGCCAUGCCGCGUGUGUGAUGAAGGCCUUAGGGUCGUAAAGCACUUUCGCCAGAGAUGAUAAUGACAGUAUCUGGUAAAGAAACCCCGGCUAACUCCGUGCCAGCAGCCGCGGUAAUACGGAGGGGGUUAGCGUUGUUCGGAAUUACUGGGCGUAAAGCGCACGUAGGCGGACUAGUCAGUCAGAGGUGAAAUCCCAGGGCUCAACCCUGGAACUGCCUUUGAUACUGCUAGUCUUGAGUUCGAGAGAGGUGAGUGGAAUUCCGAGUGUAGAGGUGAAAUUCGUAGAUAUUCGGAGGAACACCAGUGGCGAANGCGGCUCACUGGCUCGAUACUGACGCUGANGUGCGAAAGUGUGGGGAGCAAACAGGAUUAGAUACCCUGGUAGUCCACACCGUAAACGAUGAAUGCCAGUCGUCGGGCAGUAUACUGUUCGGNGACNCACCUAACGGAUUAAGCAUUCCNCCUGGGGNAGUACGGUC